GUAGUGUUAUCGAAGUUUCUGGUGUCUAUAAAAAUCCUAAAACAAGUAAAGAAGGAACAGGUAUUCAGUUUUUCACGCCAUCUGUUACUAAGGUAGAGAAAUUUACCAGCACUAUUCUUCCUGCAGAUACUACCGUAUCAGAAUUGCAAAAACUUGCUACUGACCAUAAAGCAGAAGUAACUGUUAAGCAUGAAAGUUCAAGUGGUAUAUGGAUUAAUCUACUCGUAUCCAUUGUGCCAUUUGGAAUUCUAUUCUUCUUCCUAUUCUCUAUGAUGGGAAAUAUGGGAGGAGGCAAUGGCCGUAAUCCAAUGAGUUUUGGACGUAGUAAGGCUAAAGCAGCAAAUAAAGAAGAUAUUAAAGUAAGAUUUUCAGAUGUUGCUGGAGCUGAAGAAGAAAAACAAGAACUAGUUGAAGUUGUUGAGUUCUUAAAAGAUCCAAAACGAUUCACAAAACUUGGAGCCCGUAUUCCAGCAGGUGUUCUUUUGGAGGGACCUCCGGGGACAGGUAAAACUUUGCUUGCUAAGGCAGUCGCUGGAGAAGCAGGUGUUCCAUUCUUUAGUAUCUCAGGUUCUGACUUUGUAGAAAUGUUUGUCGGAGUUGGAGCUAGUCGUGUUCGCUCUCUUUUUGAGGAUGCCAAAAAAGCAGCACCAGCUAUCAUCUUUAUCGAUGAAAUUGAUGCUGUUGGACGUCAACGUGGAGUUGGUCUCGGCGGAGGUAAUGACGAACGUGAACAAACCUUGAACCAACUUUUGAUUGAGAUGGAUGGUUUUGAGGGAAAUGAAGGGAUUAUCGUCAUCGCUGCGACAAACCGUUCAGAUGUACUUGAUCCUGCCCUUUUGCGUCCAGGACGUUUUGAUAGAAAAGUAUUGGUUGGCCGUCCUGAUGUUAAAGGUCGUGAAGCAAUCUUGAAAGUUCACGCUAAGAACAAGCCUUUAGCAGAAGAUGUUGAUUUGAAAUUAGUGGCUCAACAAACUCCAGGCUUUGUUGGUGCUGAUUUAGAGAAUGUCUUGAAUGAAGCAGCUUUAGUUGCUGCUCGUCGCAAUAAAUCGAUAAUUGAUGCUUCAGAUAUUGAUGAAGCAGAAGAUAGAGUUAUUGCUGGACCUUCUAAGAAAGAUAAGACAGUUUCACAAAAAGAACGAGAAUUGGUUGCUUACCAUGAGGCAGGACAUACCAUUGUUGGUCUAGUCUUGUCGAAUGCUCGCGUUGUCCAUAAGGUUACAAUUGUACCACGCGGCCGUGCAGGCGGAUACAUGAUUGCACUUCCUAAAGAGGAUCAAAUGCUUCUAUCUAAAGAAGAUAUGAAAGAGCAAUUGGCUGGCUUAAUGGGUGGACGUGUAGCUGAAGAAAUUAUCUUUAAUGUCCAAACUACAGGAGCUUCAAACGACUUUGAACAAGCGACACAAAUGGCACGUGCAAUGGUUACAGAGUACGGUAUGAGUGAAAAACUUGGCCCAGUACAAUAUGAAGGAAACCAUGCUAUGCUUGGUGCACAGAGUCCUCAAAAAUCAAUUUCAGAACAAACAGCUUAUGAAAUUGAUGAAGAGGUUCGUUCAUUAUUAAAUGAGGCACGAAAUAAAGCUGCUGAAAUUAUUCAGUCAAAUCGUGAAACUCACAAGUUAAUUGCAGAAGCAUUAUUGAAAUACGAAACAUUGGAUAGUACACAAAUUAAAGCUCUUUACGAAACAGGAAAGAUGCCUGAAGCAGUAGAAGAGGAAUCUCAUGCACUAUCCUAUGAUGAAGUAAAGUCAAAAAUGAAUGACGAAAAAUAACCCUGAGAGAGGCUGGAGCCUCUCUUUUUUGUGCAGUUUAGGAGCUAAAGGGAACAGAAUGGAGAAAAUGGAACAAAUGUGUUUUCUAAUCUGUUCUUAAAAGGUGCACUUGCAUCACUACCAGAUGGACCUGCGUUGUAUUAGCUAGUUGGUGGGGUAACGGCUCACCAAGGCGACGAUACAUAGCCGACCUGAGAGGGUGAUCGGCCACACUGGGACUGAGACACGGCCCAGACUCCUACGGGAGGCAGCAGUAGGGAAUCUUCGGCAAUGGACGGAAGUCUGACCGAGCAACGCCGCGUGAGUGAAGAAGGUUUUCGGAUCGUAAAGCUCUGUUGUAAGAGAAGAACGAGUGUGAGAGUGGAAAGUUCACACUGUGACGGUAUCUUACCAGAAAGGGACGGCUAACUACGUGCCAGCAGCCGCGGUAAUACGUAGGUCCCGAGCGUUGUCCGGAUUUAUUGGGCGUAAAGCGAGCGCAGGCGGUUAGAUAAGUCUGAAGUUAAAGGCUGUGGCUUAACCAUAGUAGGCUUUGGAAACUGUUUAACUUGAGUGCAAGAGGGGAGAGUGGAAUUCCAUGUGUAGCGGUGAAAUGCGUAGAUAUAUGGAGGAACACCGGUGGCGAAAGCGGCUCUCUGGCUUGUAACUGACGCUGAGGCUCGAAAGCGUGGGGAGCAAACAGGAUUAGAUACCCUGGUAGUCCACGCUGUAAACGAUGAGUGCUAGGUGUUAGACCCUUUCCGGGGUUUAGUGCCGUAGCUAACGCAUUAAGCACUCCGCCUGGGGAGUACGACCGCAAGGUUGAAACUCAAAGGAAUUGACGGGGGCCCGCACAAGCGGUGGAGCAUGUGGUUUAAUUCGAAGCAACGCGAAGAACCUUACCAGGUCUUGACAUCCCUCUGACCGCUCUAGAGAUAGAGCUUUCCUUCGGGACAGAGGUGACAGGUGGUGCAUGGUUGUCGUCAGCUCGUGUCGUGAGAUGUUGGGUUAAGUCCCGCAACGAGCGCAACCCCUAUUGUUAGUUGCCAUCAUUUAGUUGGGCACUCUAGCGAGACUGCCGGUAAUAAACCGGAGGAAGGUGGGGAUGACGUCAAAUCAUCAUGCCCCUUAUGACCUGGGCUACACACGUGCUACAAUGGCUGGUACAACGAGUCGCAAGCCGGUGACGGCAAGCUAAUCUCUUAAAGCCAGUCUCAGUUCGGAUUGUAGGCUGCAACUCGCCUACAUGAAGUCGGAAUCGCUAGUAAUCGCGGAUCAGCACGCCGCGGUGAAUACGUUCCCGGGCCUUGUACACACCGCCCGUCACACCACGAGAGUUUGUAACACCCGAAGUCGGUGAGGUAACCGUAAGGAGCCAGCCGCCUAAGGUGGGAUAGAUGAUUGGGGUGAAGUCGUAACAAGGUAGCCGUAUCGGAAGGUGCGGCUGGAUCACCU
RNAcentral lists this ribosomal RNA (3203 nucleotides) under Streptococcus pneumoniae. RNAcentral's name for it is "bacterial SSU rRNA". The stretch from base 1759 to 3203 matches the Rfam family "Bacterial small subunit ribosomal RNA". Lineage: Bacteria; Bacillati; Bacillota; Bacilli; Lactobacillales; Streptococcaceae. The record is from RNAcentral.